Molecule: RNA transcript, 2735 nt
Organism: Nicotiana attenuata
Lineage: Eukaryota; Viridiplantae; Streptophyta; Magnoliopsida; Solanales; Solanaceae
Exons: 5
Source: RefSeq, a predicted model, not a curated record
UUUCUCCUUAAUGCCCGUAUAUCUGUAAUUCCACUUAACGCCCAUUUUCUUCUUCUUCCCUCUCUAACGAAUUGGAAGCAAAAUCGAAGAACAAAUUUGAAGCAACUUUUGGUGAUUCCUGGAUUCUUAUGCAGAAGAUACUUACUCUUUAAUUCAAAUGUCGGAGGAAAUUAUAUUCACAAAAAUGCACCAUGGGGGCUACUUUUCUGAGAUUCCUGUCCCCACUUAUGUUGGUGAGAGUGAACUAGCAGGUAUGUAUAUGGACAAGGACCACUUUUCUAUUACGGAGCUGGAAUUUUAUACUAAAGAAAUAGGGUAUGCGACUGUCGAGGGCUUUUAUUAUCAGAAUAGUGAGACCAAACAAUUUCACUUGGUGGAGUCGGACCUACAUCUAUUAGGCUUAAUAAAAGACUUAAAGCAUGGAGACAACUUUGAAAUAUGGGUUAAACAUGUUGUUGACCAUGCUUUAACUCUAGAUGGGGAGAGACCUACUGGCUACCUAAUUGGAGAGAGUGAAACUUUGUUAUUAAAUAAUAGAGAUGGUGAGACAUUUAACCUACAAGAAAUUGUUGUAGAAGAGGUAGUUGAAAGUUUGGGAGGUGAUUGCACUGGUCUGUUAGAUAUAGAAAGUCAUCUUUCAGAGGUGGAGAGUAGUGAUUCAGAUCUGGAAGAUAUACCUGAAGAGGAUGACUCAGAUGUAGAUGAGGAGUUGAGAACUCUUAGACAAGACAAAAGAAAUAAAAAAUAGAAGAAAAAAGCUCCUGUUACAGAAGAGAUACCUGUUGGAGAGGCUGGUGGUAUAGAUAGAGGGUUUGAGGAUAUUGGGGUAGACAAGGCUACCAAAUAUGCAGAAAAAAUUGGGGGGGGGGGGGGAUGAAGAGUAUAUCAGUAGCUCUGAAUGUUGGAGUGAUGAUAGCAGGGAGGAGCUAGAUGCAGAAGCUGUUAGAGGAGUAGAUCUACCCUCUAGGAGGAGAAGUAAAAAAGUAAGAUAUGAUGAAGCUUGUGAGGUGGCUGUAUUUGAGCUUGGUAUGGUAGUUGAGAAUGUAACACAGUUUAGAAAGGUUGUGGCAGAUUAUGCUUUUGAGUAUAGGAGGCAAAUUAAACUAAGGCCUAAUGAGCCUCAUAGGGUAAGGGCUAAGUGUAAAACAAAUACAUGUAAAUGGUUGUUGGCUGCUUCUUUGGAUAGAGACUCUGGUGAUUUUAGAGUCAUUAACUAUCAUCCUGUAUAUAAAUGCAUUCCUACUAACAAAAAUAAGCUUUGCACUUCUAACCUUAUUGCCAAAAAGUUCAAGGAUAGGAUAGUUUCCCGGCCAUAUAUAAGGCUUUGGGAAAUUCAAGAGCUAGUUAGAGACAAGUUGGGUCUUUAUGUUGGUAGGAUUGUGUGUCAGAGAGCAAAACAUAAAGUUCUGAAGGAAAAUAUGGGUGAUUGGAAGCUGCAAUUCUCAAGGUUAUGUGAUUAUGCAGACAUCAUCAAGCAAACUAAUCCAGGAAGCUCAUGCUGGGUUAAAAUUGAUAGAGAGACUGAUCAUGGGAAGAAUUUGUUUGUAUAUUUCUAUGUAUGCUUUUAAGCCUUCAAGAAAGGAUGGUUAGAUGGGUGUAGGAAAAUCAUAGGAUUUGAUGGUUGUUUUCUUAAGGGAGCUUGUGGAGGUCAACUUCUUGCUGCUGUUGGAAGGAAUAGAAACAAUCAAAUAUUUCUUAUUGCUUGGGCAAUAGUGGAUCAAGAAACAAAACAUAGCUGGAGUUGGUUCUUAGGAUAUUUGAUUGAUGACUUAAAUUUGGGCACUGGUGAAGGUUUGACUGUAAUGUCAGAUAUGCAAAAGGGACUUGUUCCUGACAUAAUGAAGUUAUUGCCAAAUGUAGAGCAAAGAAUGUGUGCUAGGCAUAUCUGGAGUAACUGGCAUAUUAAAUGGAGAAGAGAAGCUAGAAGAAAGCAGUUCUGGAGAUGUUCAAAAGCUAGCUUUGAAGUCAAAUUUAAUGAGGAGGUGGAAGCAUUGAGUAAAUUAGUCUGGAGUGGGGGAUUCUUCACAGCCUAGAGAAUCAAAUGCCCAACCUAGCCAACCAAGCCAACCAAGCUCUGUUUGUGAAGACACUACAGCUGUUAGAAGAGUUAACCAAAGUAGGGGAGGUGCUGGGAAAGGCAGAGGAGGUGGAAGUAGAAGAGGUAAUGGAAGAGGAACCCCAUUUGUAAGUCCAAGAGAUGCUUCAUCUAGUCAGACUAAGGGUUCUAAUUCUGCUGAAUGUGUUGCUGCAACUGGAGGAAACAAAAGGCCUAGAACUAUUGGGUUUGGUGUAUACUCUGACCCUCAAACUGGAAACCAAGUGUUUAAUCCUUGUACCUCAAGUGAGAGAGUUCUACAAGGAUUCUCAACAGUGAAUAGUGCCUCACCAACCAAUAUUGAUAUUGGUUUUGUUCCAUGGGGCCUGAAAUGGAAGGAAAAGAUGCAGUCACCACCUCACAAUUGCAACAAAUGAAGGCCAACAAAAGGAAUAAAGUGAAUACUUCAUCAUCAACAACCAAGAAGUAGUUCUAAAAGUGAACUGUUUUAGUUUUUUGUCUAUGUAAUAUUGAACAAUAUUGAUGUCUAGGGAUGAUGUUAAUUUAGGUCUUUUGUCGAUGUAUUGAUGCUGCUAAACUUAUGAAGCACUUAUGCUUUUGGUACCAUUUUAUUGGAGUUGCAGUGUUACAUUUGAGCUCAAUUGAGAGUAGUUUAAUAGUAAUCCUUAUUGGUGUAUGA